GAUGAACGCUGGCGGCGUGCCUAAUACAUGCAAGUCGAGCGAACAGACGAGGAGCUUGCUCCUCUGACGUUAGCGGCGGACGGGUGAGUAACGCGUGGAUAACCUACCUAUAAGACUGGGAUAACUUCGGGAAACCGGAGCUAAUACCGGAUAAUAUCUUGAACCGCAUGGUUCAAUAGUGAAAGACGGUUUUGCUGUCACUUAUAGAUGGAUCCGCGCCGCAUUAGCUAGUUGGUAAGGUAACGGCUUACCAAGGCAACGAUGCGUAGCCGACCUGAGAGGGUGAUCGGCCACACUGGAACUGAGACACGGUCCAGACUCCUACGGGAGGCAGCAGUAGGGAAUCUUCCGCAAUGGGCGAAAGCCUGACGGAGCAACGCCGCGUGAGUGAUGAAGGUCUUCGGAUCGUAAAACUCUGUUAUUAGGGAAGAACAAAUGUGUAAGUAACUAUGCACGUCUUGACGGUACCUAAUCAGAAAGCCACGGCUAACUACGUG
This 497-nucleotide ribosomal RNA is filed under the name uncultured bacterium. RNAcentral describes it as "partial 16S ribosomal RNA". It matches the Rfam family "Bacterial small subunit ribosomal RNA", at positions 28 to 507 of the family's 1533-position model. The record is from RNAcentral.